This 373-nucleotide ribosomal RNA is filed under the name uncultured organism. RNAcentral's name for it is "partial 16S ribosomal RNA". It matches the Rfam family "Bacterial small subunit ribosomal RNA", at positions 527 to 896 of the family's 1533-position model. The record is from RNAcentral.
GUAGGUGGCAAGCGUUGUCCGGAAUUAUUGGGCGUAAAGCGCGCGCAGGCGGUUCUUUAAGUCUGAUGUGAAAGCCCACGGGCUCAACCGUGGAGGGUCAUUGGAAACUGGAGAACUUGAGUACAGAAGAGGAAAGCGGAAUUCCACGUGUAGCGGUGAAAUGCGUAGAGGUGUGGAGGAACACCAGUGGCGAAGGCGGCCUUCUGGUCUGUAACUGACGCUGAGGCGCGAAAGCGUGGGGAGCAAACAGGAUUAGAUACCCUGGUAGUCCACGCCGUAAACGAUGAGUGCUAAGUGUUAGGGGGUUUCCGCCCCUUAGUGCUGCAGCUAACGCAUUAAGCACUCCGCCUGGGGAGUACGGCCGCAAAGGCUG